UCCCUGGCAGUACAGUGGUUAGGACUUGGCACUUGAACUGCCUAGGGCCCGGGUUCAAUCCCUGGUCAGGGAA
This 73-nucleotide transfer RNA is filed under the name Balaenoptera physalus (Fin whale). It matches the Rfam family "tRNA". From Rfam's summary of the family: Transfer RNA (tRNA) molecules are approximately 80 nucleotides in length. Their secondary structure includes four short double-helical elements and three loops (D, anti-codon, and T loops). Further hydrogen bonds mediate the characteristic L-shaped molecular structure. tRNAs have two regions of fundamental functional importance: the anti-codon, which is responsible for specific mRNA codon recognition, and the 3' end, to which the tRNAs corresponding amino acid is attached (by aminoacyl-tRNA synthetases). tRNAs cope with the degeneracy of the genetic code in two manners: having more than one tRNA (with a specific anti-codon) for a particular amino acid; and 'wobble' base-pairing, i.e. permitting non-standard base-pairing at the 3rd anti-codon position. RNAcentral also lists the same sequence under 1 other name. Lineage: Eukaryota; Metazoa; Chordata; Mammalia; Artiodactyla; Balaenopteridae. The record is from Rfam by way of RNAcentral.